This is a non-coding RNA of Malus domestica (apple), 870 nucleotides long. NCBI's taxonomy places the organism in Eukaryota, Viridiplantae, Streptophyta, Magnoliopsida, Rosales, Rosaceae. The record is from RefSeq and is a predicted model, not a curated record.
CGUUGAAUAUUUUCUGGGAGCCUUAUGAUGAGACUGAAGUACAUCAUGUUCACUUGCACUUUGCAGAAGUUGAAAAGCUCCAACCCAAUCAGUCUAGACAGUUCAACAUAACUACUAACGGAGAGCUGUGUUAUGGGACACUUGCUCCUGAUUAUUUGUCCACAACGACAAUAUUCUGUACUGCUGAAUCCCUGAGUGGACCAGGAGUAGAAAAUAAUUUUUCAAUUAUUAAGACUGGAAACUCUACCCUUCCACCCAUCCUCAAUGCCUACGAGAUUUAUGAAGUGAAAGAAUUCUUAAUAUCAGAUACCAACCAAGACGAUGGUGAGUCAUAUUGAUUCCUUACACAAGCUUAAAGUCCUUGCUAUUGGUUUAGUGCCUCACCUAAUAUGUGAGUUUUAUUAAGAUGCUCCGUUUGCUUGUGAAAAUAUUAGUUGAGGCAAUCACAAACAUCAAGUGAACCUAUAAUAUUGAAAAGAACAGGCAAGGAGAUCCUUGCAACCCUCAAGUUUACUCAUGGGAUGGUCUAAACUGUAGCUAUCAUGGAACUGAUCCCCCAAGAAUUAUAUCCUUGAACUUGUCUUCCAGUGGAUUAGAAGGGUAGAUUUCUCCUUCUCUAUCAAAUCUAACAAUGAUACAGACAUUGGAUUUAUCAAACAACAACUUAAGAGGAUCAAUUCCAGAAAUUUUGUCACAACUGCCGACAUUAAAUGUCUUGUAAGUUAUUUUGUUAUAUAUGUGUAUGUGUGUGUGUAUUUUGUUAUUGUCUUAUAGCUUAUUUACGCAUAUGAAAUUCAAUACGAGUCUUGCACCAUGUAACUUAAAUUGUGUCACUUUAACUUCCUAAAACUCUACUUGUUUUUCACUUUA